GCCCAUUCAGGUUGGAGGCAUUGCCUGCCAGUGACAACUGUUUAACGGCCGCGGUAUCCUGACCGUGCAAAGGUAGCAUAAUCAUUUGUUCUCUAAAUAAGGACUUGUAUGAAUGGCCGCACGAGGGUUUUACUGUCUCUUACUUCCAAUCAGUGAAAUUGACCUUCCCGUGAAGAGGCGGGAAUGCACAAAUAAGACGAGAAGACCCUAUGGAGCUUUAACUAACCAACCCAAAGAGAAUAGAUUUAACCAUUAAGGAAUAACAACAAUCUCCAUGAGUUGGUAGUUUCGGUUGGGGUGACCUCGGAGAAUAAAAAAUCCUCCGAGCGAUUUUAAAGACUAGACCCACAAGUCAAAUCACUCUAUCGCUCAUUGAUCCAAAAACUUGAUCAACGGAACAAGUUACCCUAGGGAUAACAGCGCAAUCCUAUUCAAGAGUCCAUAUCGACAAUAGGGUUUACGACCUCGAUGUUGGAUCAGGACAUCCUGAUGGUGCAACCGCUAUCAAAGGUUCGUUUGUUCAACGAUUAAAGUCCUACGUGAUCUGAGUUCAGACCGGA
RNAcentral lists this ribosomal RNA (560 nucleotides) under Phascolosoma esculenta. RNAcentral's name for it is "partial 16S ribosomal RNA". It matches the Rfam family "Bacterial large subunit ribosomal RNA", at positions 1886 to 2620 of the family's 2925-position model. Lineage: Eukaryota; Metazoa; Annelida; Sipuncula; Phascolosomatiformes; Phascolosomatidae. The record is from RNAcentral.